UGGGCCUUCUAAACCCCAUUUUAAAAGUUUUAUAAUUUAUUUUAUAAACGACAAUGGAUGUGAUGCCCAAUGUAAUUUGUAACAUAGUAAAUUAGGAGGAUCUUCGAUCACCUGAUGCCGCGCUAGUUACAUAUAAAAGCAUUAUUUAAUACAAUGACAAAGCCUAGAAUCAAUUGUAAACGACUUUUGUAACAGGCAAGGUGUUGUAAGUGGUUGAGCAGCUGCCAUACUGCGAUCCACUGAAGCUUAUCCUUUGCUUGAUGAUUCGA
RNAcentral lists this non-coding RNA (269 nucleotides) under Drosophila simulans. Its description in RNAcentral is "Eukaryotic large subunit ribosomal RNA". It matches the Rfam family "Eukaryotic large subunit ribosomal RNA", at positions 3142 to 3401 of the family's 3401-position model. Lineage: Eukaryota; Metazoa; Arthropoda; Insecta; Diptera; Drosophilidae. The record is from Rfam by way of RNAcentral.